This 469-nucleotide ribosomal RNA is filed under the name uncultured bacterium. Its description in RNAcentral is "bacterial SSU rRNA". It matches the Rfam family "Bacterial small subunit ribosomal RNA", at positions 328 to 794 of the family's 1533-position model. The record is from RNAcentral.
UCGCCAGACUCCUACGGGAGGCAGCAGUGAGGAAUAUUGGUCAAUGGGCCUACGCCUGAACCAGCCAAGUCGCGUGAGGGAAGACUGCCCUAUGGGUUGUAAACCUCUUUUGUCAGGGAGCAAUUGGCGCUACGUGUAGCGUUAUCGAGAGUACCUGAAGAAAAAGCAUCGGCUAACUCCGUGCCAGCAGCCGCGGUAAUACGGAGGAUGCGAGCGUUAUCCGGAUUUAUUGGGUUUAAAGGGUGCGUAGGCGGAAUGCCAAGUCAGCGGUAAAAUCGCGGGGCUCAACCUCGCUCCGCCGUUGAAACUGGCGUUCUUGAGUGGGCGAGAAGUAUGCGGAAUGCGUGGUGUAGCGGUGAAAUGCAUAGAUAUCACGCAGAACCCCGAUUGCGAAGGCAGCAUACCGGUGCACAACUGACGCUCAGGCACGAAAGCGUGGGUAUCGAACAGGAUUAGAUACCCCGGUAGC